ACCGUGGAGGGUCAUUGGAAACUGGAAAACUGGAGUGCAGAAGAGGAAAGUGCAAUUCCAUGUGUAGCGGUGAAAUGCGCAGAGAUAUGGAGGAACACCAGUGGCGAAGGCGACUUUCUGGUCUGUAACUGACGCUGAUGUGCGAAAGCGUGGGGAUCAAACAGGAUUAGAUACCCUGGUAGUCCACGCCGUAAACGAUGAGUGCUAAGUGUUAGGGGGUUUCCGCCCUUUAGUGCUGCAGCUAACGCAUUAAGCACUCCGCCUGGGGAGUACGACCGCAAGGUUGAAACUCAAAGGAAUUGACGGGGACCCGCACAAGCGGUGGAGCAUGUGGUCUAAUUCGAAGCAACGCGAAGAACCUUACCAAAUCUUGACAUCCUUUGACCGCUCUAGAGAUAGAGUCUUCCCCUUCGGGGGACAAAGUGACAGGUGGUGCAUGGUCGUCGUCAGCUCGUGUCGUGAGAUGUUGGGUUAAGUCCCGCAACGAGCGCAACCCUUAAGCUUAGUUGCCAUCAUUUAGUUGGGCACUCUAAGUUGACUGCCGGUGACAAACCGGAGGAAGGUGGGGAUGACGUCAAAUCAUCAUGCCCCUUAUGAUUUGGGCUACACACGUGCUACAAUGGACAAUACAAAGGGCAGCGAAACCGCGAGGUCAAGCAAAUCCCAUAAAGUUGUUCUCAGUUCGGAUUGUAGUCUGCAACUCGACUACAUGAAGCUGGAAUCGCUAGUAAUCGUAGAUCAGCAUGCUACGGUGAAUACGUUCCCGGGUCUUGUACACACCGCCCGUCACACCACGAGAGUUUGUAACACCCGAAGCCGGUGGAG
Molecule: ribosomal RNA, 825 nt
Filed under: Staphylococcus lugdunensis
Lineage: Bacteria; Bacillati; Bacillota; Bacilli; Caryophanales; Staphylococcaceae
Description: bacterial SSU rRNA
Rfam family: Bacterial small subunit ribosomal RNA
Source: RNAcentral